This 243-nucleotide ribosomal RNA is filed under the name uncultured bacterium. RNAcentral describes it as "partial 16S ribosomal RNA". It matches the Rfam family "Bacterial small subunit ribosomal RNA", at positions 14 to 244 of the family's 1533-position model. The record is from RNAcentral.
GUAUCAUGGCUCAGGAUGAACGCUGGCGGCGUGCCUAACACAUGCAAGUCGAACGGACUUACAUUUGAAGUCCUAGCGAUAAUGUAAGUUAGUGGCGGACGGGUGAGUAACGCGUGGGUAACCGUGCCUUGUACUGGGGGACAACGAGUUGGAAACGACUGCUAAUACCGCAUAAGCGCACAGCUUCGCAUGAAGCAGUGUGAAAAACUCCGGUGGUACAAGAUGGACCCGCGUCUGACUUAG